This 497-nucleotide ribosomal RNA is filed under the name uncultured bacterium. RNAcentral describes it as "partial 16S ribosomal RNA". It matches the Rfam family "Bacterial small subunit ribosomal RNA", at positions 28 to 507 of the family's 1533-position model. The record is from RNAcentral.
GAUGAACGCUGGCGGCGUGCCUAAUACAUGCAAGUCGAGCGAACAGACGAGAAGCUUGCUUCUCUGAUGUUAGCGGCGGACGGGUGAGUAACACGUGGAUAACCUACCUAUAAGACUGGGAUAACUUCGGGAAACCGGAGCUAAUACCGGAUAAUAUUUUGAACCGCAUGGUUCAAAGGUGAAAGACGGUCUUGCUGUCACUUAUAGAUGGAUCCGCGCCGCAUUAGCUAGUUGGUAAGGUAACGGCUUACCAAGGCAACGAUGCAUAGCCGACCUGAGAGGGUGAUCGGCCACACUGGAACUGAGACACGGUCCAGACUCCUACGGGAGGCAGCAGUAGGGAAUCUUCCGCAAUGGGCGAAAGCCUGACGGAGCAACGCCGCGUGAGUGAUGAAGGUCUUCGGAUCGUAAAACUCUGUUAUUAGGGAAGAACAAAUGUGUAAGUAACUGUGCACAUCUUGACGGUACCUAAUCAGAAAGCCACGGCUAACUACGUG